UUAUUGUGAACGAAAGAGGAAUCGAGGUCGAUCCUGCUAAAAAAAAAAAAAAAAAGAAAAGAAAAAAGAGAGCAAACGGUCAGGUGGAUAUUGCCAAGGGGCAUUGAAAAAAGCAAAAGAAAAAGCAAUGCAAGGAAUACCUGAACCGAAAACAAAAAAGAGAGCAAACGGUCAGGUGGAUAUUGCCAAGGGGAAUUGAAAAAAGAAUAAGUUGCAGGAACCUCUGAUUCUG
This 232-nucleotide long non-coding RNA is filed under the name Lathyrus oleraceus (garden pea). Its description in RNAcentral is "Pisum sativum (pea) long non-coding RNA (PSAT_LNC025551)". Lineage: Eukaryota; Viridiplantae; Streptophyta; Magnoliopsida; Fabales; Fabaceae. The record is from RNAcentral.